GGGGCGAUGGCGGAAUAGGCAGACGCAGCAGACUUAAAAUCUGCCGGCCGUAAGGCUGUGUGGGUUCGACCCCCACUCGCCCCA
Molecule: transfer RNA, 84 nt
Filed under: Levilinea saccharolytica
Lineage: Bacteria; Bacillati; Chloroflexota; Anaerolineae; Anaerolineales; Anaerolineaceae
Also listed under: 1 other name
Rfam family: tRNA
About the family: Transfer RNA (tRNA) molecules are approximately 80 nucleotides in length. Their secondary structure includes four short double-helical elements and three loops (D, anti-codon, and T loops).
Source: Rfam by way of RNAcentral